GACAGAGGUGCCGAGCGUUAGGCGGAAUCACUGGGCUUAAAGCGUGUGUAGGCGGGUCGUUAAGUGCCUUGUGAAAUCCCACCGCUCACCGGUGGAACUGCUUGGCAUACUGGCGGUCUUGAGCCACUUAGGGGCAACCGGAACAAACGGUGGAGCGGUGAAAUGCGUAGAUAUCGCUUGGAACGCCAAUGGUGAAAACAGGUUGCUGGGAGUGUGCUGACGCUGAGACACGAAAGCCAGGGGAGCAAACGGG
RNAcentral lists this ribosomal RNA (253 nucleotides) under uncultured bacterium. Its description in RNAcentral is "partial 16S ribosomal RNA". It matches the Rfam family "Bacterial small subunit ribosomal RNA", at positions 524 to 776 of the family's 1533-position model. The record is from RNAcentral.